UUACUAAUUUAUAUAAUGUCCACUUUACAUUUAGGUUCAACUUGUUCCAAAUCUCAUAGGACCUACCCGUGGGUAGUCCGGCUUGCACCGUGCCUAAUGGCCCCGUGGUAGUCAACAUUCCAAUUCUAUGAAUGAGCCUCUCCCACGGUAUCCCACUUCGGCGCCCAAUCCCACAGGGGUGAGCAUAUGUCGUGUGAGACUCAUCUCGCUAACCCGUCAUCCAGACCCCGGCCCAGCCGAGACUCAUCUCACACUUCCGGCUGGUACUUGGCUCUGAUACCAUCUGUGACGCCCCGACUUCCCAGGGGGUCACCCAUCCUAGGACUACUCCCGUCCUAGCACGCUUAACUCUCUUAACCUCUUGGGUCUAGCCACCACCCAAAAUGCUUAAGCCGGGUUAAGAGUUUAGCCCUAUUAUAUCUUAUAUAUAGGACUAUCUGGGGUCUCACAAUCUCCCCUCCUUUAAGCCCUGACGUCCUCGUCAGGCUCAGACUCACAAGUACCAGGCGAUGUGAGACUCGUCUCGCUAGCCCGUCAUCCAGACCCUGGCUCAGCCGAGACUCAUCUCACACUUCCGGCUGGUAAUUGGCUCUGAUACCAUCUGUGACGCCCCAACUUCCCAGGGGGUCACCCAUCCUAGGACUACUCCCGUCCUAGCACGCUUAACUCUCUUAACCUCUUGGGUCUUGCCACCACCCAAAAUGCUUAAGCCGGGUUAAGAGUUUAGCCCUAUUAUAUCUCAUAUAUAGGACUAUCUGGGGUCUCAUAAUCUCCCCUCCUUUAAGCCAUGACGUCCUCGUCAGGCUCAGACUCACAAGUACCAGGCGAUGUGAGACUCGUCUCGCUAGCCCGUCAUCCAGACCCUGGCUCAGCCGAGACUCAUCCCACACUUCCGGCUGGUAAUUGGCUCUGAUACUAUCUAUGACGCCCCAGCUUCUCCCCAUUUCUAGCCCCUAACAUGGAUAAUCAUGGGGGAAAUCCUCAAAUCAUCUCCUAGAAGCAUACUAGAAGGAAAACAAUCCAAAACCUAGCUUAAAACUAAGAAAUCUCACCUUUGGUUCAAGCUUUUCCUUGUACACUUGCACAAUAGCAUGCAACACUUUUGACUUGGUCUUCUUCUCCACCAAGAUCCCU
Molecule: long non-coding RNA, 1134 nt
Filed under: Ananas comosus (pineapple)
Lineage: Eukaryota; Viridiplantae; Streptophyta; Magnoliopsida; Poales; Bromeliaceae
Description: long non-coding RNA (ACOM_LNC009012)
Source: RNAcentral